This 775-nucleotide ribosomal RNA is filed under the name Parodontophora fluviatilis. RNAcentral describes it as "SSU rRNA". It matches the Rfam family "Eukaryotic small subunit ribosomal RNA", at positions 167 to 948 of the family's 1831-position model. The record is from RNAcentral. Lineage: Eukaryota; Metazoa; Nematoda; Chromadorea; Araeolaimida; Axonolaimidae.
AUACACGCACCAAGCUCUGACCGCAAGGGAUGAGCGCAUUUAUUAGAACAAAAACCAAUCAGGCUUUGCCUGUUAUUGGUGGAUCUGAAUAACUCAGCUGAUCGCACGGUCUCGCACCGGCGACGCAUCUUCCAAGUGUCUGCCUUAUCAACUUUUGAUGGUAGUUUAUGCGACUACCAUGGUUGUAACGGGUAACGGAGAAUAAGGGUUCGACUCCGGAGAGGGAGCCUGAGAAACGGCUACCACAUCCAAGGAAGGCAGCAGGCGCGCAAAUUACCCAAUCUCAGAACGAGGAGGUAGUGACGAAAAAUAACGAGAUGGUUCUCUUUGAGGCCCAUUAUCGGAAUGAGUACAAUUCAAACCCUUUAACGAGGAUCUACGAGAGGGCAAGUCUGGUGCCAGCAGCCGCGGUAAUUCCAGCUCUCGAAGUGUAUAUCAUUGUUGUUGCGGUUAAAAAGCUCGUAGUUGGAUCUGCGUCUUUGGAGCCGGUCUUCCCAACGGGACAGCACUGGUCUCCUGGACUAGAAUGGCUGGUUUUGCCUUGGUGCUCUUAACCGGGUGCCUUGGCUGACUAGCAAGUUUACUUUGAAAAAAUUAGAGUGCUCAAAACAAGCGUUUGCUUGAAUACUGGUGCAUGGAAUAAUGGAAUAGGACCUCGGUUCUAUUUUGUUGGUUUUCGGAACAUGAGGUAAUGAUUAAGAGGAACAGACGGGGGCAUUCGUAUUGCAGCGCUAGAGGUGAAAUUCUUGGACCGCUGCAAGACGAACAACUGCGA